RNAcentral lists this long non-coding RNA (241 nucleotides) under Phoenix dactylifera (date palm). Its description in RNAcentral is "long non-coding RNA (PDAC_LNC009278)". Lineage: Eukaryota; Viridiplantae; Streptophyta; Magnoliopsida; Arecales; Arecaceae. The record is from RNAcentral.
UGAAAAAUAACAGUAACUCACAUUCUUCACACUAUUAAUUUUAAAAGACCCAAUUCACCUGCCCUCUUGGGCUGCACCUCUGGGCAACACACUUAUACGCUUCACUCAACCCAAAUUGUUCAUUUAUAAAUAAAAUUUAAAAUUCUCAAAUUUAGAUAACCCAAUUAACCUCCCCUUUUGGGUUGUUACCUUGGGCAACACCUUUUAUAGGAUCUCUUCAAACCUUGCAACCGAAAAUGCC